This 253-nucleotide ribosomal RNA is filed under the name uncultured prokaryote. RNAcentral's name for it is "partial 16S ribosomal RNA". It matches the Rfam family "Bacterial small subunit ribosomal RNA", at positions 524 to 776 of the family's 1533-position model. The record is from RNAcentral.
UACAGAGGGUGCGAGCGUUGUCCGGAAUCGCUGGGCGUAAAGGGCGCGUAGGUGGCGCGACAAGUCGGUGGUGAAAGCUCGACGCUUAACGUCGAGUCGGCCACUGAUACUGUCGGGCUUGAGCACUGUAGAGGCAGGUGGAAUUCCUGGUGUAGCGGUGAAAUGCGUAGAUAUCAGGAGGAAUACCGGUGGCGAAAGCGACUCUCUGGACGGUAACUGACGCUGAGGCACGAAAGCGUGGGGAGCAAACAGG